This 69-nucleotide transfer RNA is filed under the name Kalophrynus palmatissimus. Its description in RNAcentral is "tRNA-Val". It matches the Rfam family "tRNA". From Rfam's summary of the family: Transfer RNA (tRNA) molecules are approximately 80 nucleotides in length. The record is from RNAcentral. Lineage: Eukaryota; Metazoa; Chordata; Amphibia; Anura; Microhylidae.
CAAAAUGUAGCUUAAUUAAAGCAUUCCGCUUACACCGCAAUUAUAUUUGUUCAACUCAAAUCAUUUUGA